Molecule: ribosomal RNA, 442 nt
Filed under: uncultured bacterium
Lineage: Bacteria
Description: partial 16S ribosomal RNA
Rfam family: Bacterial small subunit ribosomal RNA
Source: RNAcentral
CCUACGGGGGGCAGCAGUGGGGAAUAUUGGGCAAUGGAGGAAACUCUGACCCAGCAACGCCGCGUGAAUGAUGAAGGUCUUCGGAUUGUAAAGUUCUUUUCUAGGGAAGAAGAAAGUUACGGUUCCUUAGGAAUAAGCCUCGGCUAACUAUGUGCCAGCAGCCGAGGUAACACGUAGGAGGCGAGCGCUAUCCGGAAUGACUGGGGGUAAAGGGUGCGUAGGUGGUUUUGCAAGUUAGUAGCGUAACUCCUAGGCUCAACCUUGGAACUACUACUAAAACUGUUGGACUAGAGUGCAGGAGAGGCAACCGGAAUUCCAAGUGUAGCGGUGGAAUGCGUAGAUAUUAGGAGGAACACCAGUGGCGAAGGCGGGUUGCUGGACUGUAACUGACACUGAGGCACGAAAGCGUGGGGAGCAAACAGGAUUAGAUACCCGUGUAGUC